UACGUAGGGUGCAAGCGUUAAUCGGAAUUACUGGGCGUAAAGCGUGCGCAGGCGGUUAUGUAAGACAGUUGUGAAAUCCCCGGGCUCAACCUGGGAACUGCAUCUGUGACUGCAUAGCUAGAGUACGGUAGAGGGGGAUGGAAUUCCGCGUGUAGCAGUGAAAUGCGUAGAUAUGCGGAGGAACACCGAUGGCAAAGGCAAUCCCCUGGACCUGUACUGACGCUCAUGCACGAAAAGCGUGGGGGAGCAAACAGG
RNAcentral lists this ribosomal RNA (255 nucleotides) under uncultured bacterium. RNAcentral describes it as "partial 16S ribosomal RNA". It matches the Rfam family "Bacterial small subunit ribosomal RNA", at positions 524 to 776 of the family's 1533-position model. The record is from RNAcentral.